Coffea arabica (coffee) is the source of this 800-nucleotide non-coding RNA. Lineage: Eukaryota; Viridiplantae; Streptophyta; Magnoliopsida; Gentianales; Rubiaceae. The record is from RefSeq and is a predicted model, not a curated record.
ACUUACAAUCUUGCACCUUGUACGUAUUUACAUAUUACACUGAGCAAUAAAGAAAAGACGCUCAUUCCAUCUGGGCAGAGUUUUAUAAUAAUCGAAAAGCUGAAAAAGAAGCUAAGGAAGAAGAAGAAAAAGAAGAAGAAAAUCAUGAAGAGCAAUGCUUCCGCCACGCCAUGCAAUUGGCGACGGGGGCUUCAGGUGCCUUUUGGUGCUAAACACUGUGUUAGGAUGGAUGUUUUAGAGACCAAAAACCCCGAUGAUGCACCGGCCACUCUGUACCGGAUGCUUGCAUUCCUGGCUAGUUACUGAUAGGGAAUGGAACGCAAAUACCAUAAAAAGGGACAAAUACAACAUCCAGAGGCACUUUUGAAAGAUGGAAACUUUUCUGCUUUUAGUAAUUGCUGAAGAGAGAGCAGAUGAAACAAGACCAGGAGUCUUCCCUUUCUCCUCUGGAGCGCAGCAAUAGUAGAGGGCAGUAGGAAUUAGAUAGACAAUGGAGAAGACGGUAGUUACUACUUCUUGACUUUUUCUUUUCGUCUUUUAGUAGUUUUCUUCUCUCGUAUGUCAGGAAAAGGUAGAAACCAAGGAAUCAUUGGCCGUAGCUUCGUUUUUUUCCUUCAUUAUUCGAACGUAUUGAAUUCUCCCUAUCAAGGAUAAUGGCCGCUACUGUUUCAUCAACUUUGUGUGGGUGUUACUCAUCAGGGAUGAACUAAAUCCAUGUUUUUUAGUCAAGGAACAACGGAGGUUUUGGUUCGUUUAAAAUUUGUGAGAUCGAAUUAAUUUUAUCUUUUUUUUUUUUUUUU